GCCAUAACAGCUGUCGUCCAUUUGGAUAGCAUAAGCUUGGAAGUUUUUGAGUCGUUCAGUCAGUUUCCUCUUGAUUGUGAGCAAUAGCAUAAAUUAUUUGUUUAACAGUGUUAUCUGACAAAGGUGAAGAAGCCGGAUGUGGAAGUCUUGGACUGGCGUGGUUACACGUGGUCUGCGGUUGUGAGGCCGGUUGGAUGUACUGCCAAAUUCACUAAAACAACGUUGGAGGUGGCUUAUGGUAGAGAAAUGAACAUUAAAUUCUCUGUCAACAGCUCUGGGGGACAUUCCUGCAGUCAGCAUUUCAAUUGUAUGCUCCCUCAAAACUUGAGACAUCUGUGGCAUUGUGUUGUGUGACAAAACUGCACAUUUUAGAGUGGCCUGUUAUUGUGCCCAGCACAAGAUGCACCUGUGUAAUGAUCAUGCUGUUUAAUCAGAUUCUUGAUAUGCCACACCUGUCAGGAUGAUGGAUUAUCUUGCAGGAGGAGAAAUGCUCACUAGCUG
This 501-nucleotide long non-coding RNA is filed under the name Salmo salar (Atlantic salmon). RNAcentral's name for it is "lncRNA (ENSSSAG00000084419.1, ENSSSAG00020069033.1, ENSSSAG00075020847.1)". Lineage: Eukaryota; Metazoa; Chordata; Actinopteri; Salmoniformes; Salmonidae. The record is from RNAcentral.